CAGUCGCCACGGUAAUCCGUAGGUGGCAAGCGUUGUCCGGAAUUAUUGGGCGUAAAGCGCGCGCAGGUGGUUUAAUAAGUCUGAUGUGAAAGCCCACGGCUCAACCGUGGAGGGUCAUUGGAAACUGUUAAACUUGAGUGCAGGAGAGAAAAGUGGAAUUCCCAGUGUAGCGGUGAAAUGCGUAGAGAUUAGGAGGAACACCAGUGGCGAAGGCGGCUUUUUGGCCUGUAACUGACACUGAGGCGCGAAAGCGUGGGGAGCAAACAGGAUUAGAUACCCCUGUAGUCCCUGUCUCUUAUAC
Molecule: ribosomal RNA, 301 nt
Filed under: uncultured bacterium
Lineage: Bacteria
Description: partial 16S ribosomal RNA
Rfam family: Bacterial small subunit ribosomal RNA
Source: RNAcentral